This 2863-nucleotide ribosomal RNA is filed under the name Discoplastis spathirhyncha. RNAcentral describes it as "bacterial LSU rRNA". It matches the Rfam family "Bacterial large subunit ribosomal RNA". The record is from RNAcentral. Lineage: Eukaryota; Euglenozoa; Euglenophyceae; Euglenales; Phacaceae.
UUAAAUGAAGAAGGGCUUAUGUGGAAUAGCUUGGUACUUUAAGACGAAGAAGGGCGCAGUAACUGGCGAUACGCUUUGGGGAGCUAGAAACAAGUUGUGAUCCAAAGAUUCCCAAAUAGGGCAACCUGUUGACAUUUUUUGAAUGGUUAUAAGUAAAUGUUGUAAACCUGAUGAACUGAAACAUCUUAGUAGUCAGAGGAAAAGAAAGCAAUUGCGAUUCUCUUAUUAGCGGCGAGCUAACUGAGAACAGCCUAAACCCUUAAGGGUGUUGAGGGGUUUAUCAUAUAAGUAUCAUUAUGAAUUUUUGAAUUUGUUGAAUGCAAUACCAGAGAAGGUUGAAAGUCCUGUAAAAUAUUCAAUUUUUACUUAGAUAUUUUCCCAAGUAACGCAGAGCAUGUGGAAUUCUGUGUGAAUCUGCGAGAACCAUCUCGUAAGGCUAAAUACUUUUUAGUAACCGAUAGUGAACUAGUACCGUGAGGGAACGCUUAAAAGAAUCCUGGGAAGGAAGUGAAAUAGAUCUUGAAAGCAUAAGCUUACAAGCAGUAGGAGGUUUAUUUUAAGGAUUGACUAUGUGCCUGUUGAAGAAUGUGCCGGCGACUUAUGGGUAGUGGCUUGGUUAAGGAUUUUCAUCCGAAUCCAUAGCGAAAGCAAGUCUGAAUAAGGCGUUUGUCACUAUUCAUAGACCCGAACCCGGGUGAUCUAAUCUUGGUCAGGUUGAAGCUUGGGUAAAACUAAGUGGAGGACCGAACUCACCAAUGUUGAAAAAUUGGGAAAUGAACUGUGAUUAGGGGAGAAAUUCCAAUCGAACUCGGAGCUAGCUGGAUCUCUUCGAAAUGCGUUGAGGCGCAGCAAUCAAUUAUGGUCUGUUUAGGGGUAAAGCACUGUUUCAACGCGGGCUGCGAAAGCGGUACCAAGUUUGUGGCAAACUCUGAAUACUAAACAAUGAAUAUUCCAAUUGAUCAGUGAGACUGUGGGGGAUAAGCUUCAUAGUCAAAAGGGAAACAGCCCAGAUCACCAGUUAAGGCCCCUAAAUAUUUGCUAAGUGGUAAAGGAUGUAAAGGUACCUUGACAACCAGGAGGUUUGCUUAGAAGCAGCAAUCCUUUAAAAAGUGCGUAAUAGCUUACUGGUCAAGUGCAUUUGCGCCGAAAAUGAACGGGACUAAGCAAUUUGCCGAAGCUGUGGGAUUAAUUAUCGGUAGAAGAGCGUUCUGUUUUAGGUUGAAGCAGUAGUGAAAACAAUUGUGGAUUAAGCAGAAGUGAGAAUGUCGGCUUAAGUAACGAAAACAUUGGUGGAAAUCCAAUGCUCCGAAAACCUAAGGAUUCCUCCGCAAGGUUCGUCCACGGAGGGUUAGUCAGGAUCUAAAAUGAGGUCUAACGACGUAGUUGACGGAAAACAGGUUAAUAUUCCUGUACUAUAUUUGUUUAAUUACGCUAAAGAGACGGAGUAAAAAGCUAGGUUAGCCAGGUUUUGGGUAUUAUUUGGAUCAUUUGAUUAUUGAAUGAAUACUGGUGCUACGGUGCUACAAUUAACUGAGGCAUACUUCCAAGAAAAUCUUUAGUAUUAAUAUAUAAUAGCAAAUAUACCUGUACCUUAAACUGACACAGGUAGGUUAGUAGAGAAUACUAAGGAGCGCGAGAUAACUCUUUCUAAGGAACUCGGCAAAAUAACUCUGUAACUUCGGGAGAAAGAGUGCCUUGUUUUUAAUUUAAUAAGGUCGCAGUAACCAGGCCCAGGCGACUGUUUACCAAAAACACAGGUCUCCGCUAAGUCGAAAGACAAUGUAUGGGGGCUGACGCCUGCCCAGUGCCGGAAGGUUAAAGAAAUUGGUUAGCUUUUGCGAAGCUAGUGACUGAAGCCCUGGUGAACGGCAGCCGUAACUAUAACGGUUCUAAGGUAGCGAAAUUCCUUGUCAGGUAAGUUCUGACCCGCACGAAAGGCGUAACGAUCUGGGUACUGUCUCGGAAAGAGACUCGGUGAAAUAGAAUUGACUGUGAAGAUGCGGUCUACUUGCACUUGGACAGAAAGACCCUAUGAAGCUUUACUGUAAUUUGAAAUUGGUUUUGGGUUUCUCCUGCGCAGCAUAGGUGGAAGGCAUUGAUUCUCUCUUUCGGGAGACGAGGAGCCAUAAGUGAGAUACCACUCUGGAGGAAUUAGAAAUCUAAUUGUAUUUCUUUAAACAAGAUACUUGACAGUUUCAGAUGGGCAGUUUUACUGGGGCGGUAGCCUCCUAAAAAGUAACGGAGGCGUACAAAGGUUUUCUCAGGCUGGACGGAAAUUAGUUGCAGAGUGUAAAGGCAUAAGAAAGCUUAACUGUUAGACUUACAAGUCGAUCAGGGACGAAAGUCGGUCUUAGUGAUCCGACGGUUCUGAGUGGAAAGGCCGUCGCUCAACGGAUAAAAGUUACUCUAGGGAUAACAGGCUGAUCUCCCCCAAGAGUUCACAUCGACGGGGAGGUUUGGCACCUCGAUGUCGGCUCAUCGCAACCUGGGGCGGUAGUACGUCCCAAGGGUUGGGCUGUUCGCCCAUUAAAGCGGUACGUGAGCUGGGUUCAGAACGUCGAGAGACAGUUCGGUCCAUAUCCGGUGUAAGCGUUAGAGUAUUGAAAGGAUCUUUCCUUAGUACGAGAGGACCGGGAAAGACACACCACUGAUGUGCCAGUUCUUAUUCCCAUAGGAUAUGCUGGGUAGUCAAGUGUGGAUUGGAUAACUGCUGAAAGCAUAUAAGUAGGAAGCCUACCUUAAGAUGAGUGCUCUUUCUUUAAUUUGAUAAGAUCAUGAUUAGACUAAUCGUUUAUAGGUAUCAAGUGUAAGAUUGGUAACAAUUUCAGCUGAGAUAUACUAAUAGAUCGAAGAAUUUAUCCUA